UCUCUUUUUUUGAAGUGUUUCACAUUAUCUUUUCGAGAUAAAAAUAGUCAUUGACUCAAACUUUAAA
Molecule: transfer RNA, 67 nt
Filed under: Galba pervia
Lineage: Eukaryota; Metazoa; Mollusca; Gastropoda; Lymnaeidae
Description: tRNA-Glu
Source: RNAcentral